This is a long non-coding RNA of Lolium rigidum, 710 nucleotides long. RefSeq lists it as uncharacterized. The transcript has 3 exons. NCBI's taxonomy places the organism in Eukaryota, Viridiplantae, Streptophyta, Magnoliopsida, Poales, Poaceae. The record is from RefSeq and is a predicted model, not a curated record.
CACGGCGGCGUGUGCAGGCGUUCGGCGCGUCCACUCCGGCGACCACGAGCGAGGCCCCGCUCCCGAUAGCUGCGCCUGCACGCUUCUUCCCUCUACUGCCUAUCCCCUCGCCGGCGUCCGUCCUUCCCCAUCUCCCAAGAUCUGCUCCGCUGCAAUUCUCAUGUCCCGUCCGGCGACGACGACGGCCGGCUGUCGGGAUUGACGAAGGCUGUCGACCGGUUCUUGAGGAAGAAGCUCGACGAUUUUGCAGGAUUACAGAAUUUGCUUGACUGAGCUUGCAAGCGAUGUGGUCGUCGAGGAAGGAGAAGUGUCUUUCCAUCUCCACAAGGUGAACAUUCGCUCCAUCUCUCUCCAUGUGUUAUUCCCUGUUCUUCCUCCGAUGGAAUGCAGAUUCGUUGAAAGGCAUCUUGAAUGUGAGGAUGUACAUAUGCUAAAUAAGGAAGCCGUUAUUCUCUGUGAAACACCACCCAAAUUUGCCGGCGCUGGAUAGGGAUGGCGGAGCGGACUCCCUCGGCCAGUACCGGUGGAAGGCGAGGAGGUCUCUAGAAGACGAGAGCAUGGACGUGGCGGCCCCUUCGAAGACGAGAGCAGCGGCGGACGGCGGCCAAAGGUGGAGCUGGUAGCGGCGACGCCUUCGACGACGAGAGCAACGGCGGACGGCGGCCAAAGGUGGAGCUGGUAGCGGCGACCCCUCCGACGACGAGCAGACG